This 529-nucleotide transfer RNA is filed under the name Sinocyclocheilus grahami. Its description in RNAcentral is "lncRNA (ENSSGRG00000044384.1)". Lineage: Eukaryota; Metazoa; Chordata; Actinopteri; Cypriniformes; Cyprinidae. The record is from RNAcentral.
CUGCUUGAUCGACAAUCACAACAACAACACGUGCAGAUCCUGCUGAUUAUUUUGGUUUUAAAAAUGUCACUUUAACAGCGCAUAUUUCAGCUCAAUUGCAAACAAAACCGACACACAGUCCGAUAAAAUGCUGGAAACAAGUGUCACGCGACUCACCUAAGAAGUGCUGUGCUGUGGAUUGUAAAGCAGAGCUCUGGGACGUGUGGACAGACAGAGACUGUAAUGAUGGACAUCUGCUCGUGGACAGUCUGUCCAAAAGCAUAACCACUGCUGGUCACAGUGCGGGAAGCUCCGGGGGGAGACUGUACUGGUAUCCCCCUUCUUUGGGCGCGCCUUCACACACACUCCAGCAUUCACUCAUAUCACAGAGACCUGGCUGGGAUCAAACCAGCAACCUCUGAACCCGUGAGGCAGCGCUCUUACCUGUGAGCCACAGGUCUCUUGUGAGAGCACGUGAAGGAACUUAUUUUUGACUGUUGACUUGUGAGUUCCCAAUAAAGAAGUUAAAGUAAGCUGUGUACGUGAUAUA